Sarcophilus harrisii (Tasmanian devil) is the source of this 2214-nucleotide long non-coding RNA. RefSeq lists it as uncharacterized. The record is from RefSeq and is a predicted model, not a curated record. Lineage: Eukaryota; Metazoa; Chordata; Mammalia; Dasyuromorphia; Dasyuridae. The transcript is spliced from 2 exons.
CUCAUGAUACAGUGGAAAUAACCCUGAACCUGAAAUCACAGCACCCAAGUUCAAAUUGUGUGUGACAUUGGGCAAGUGUACUUAAGCAUCCAUGCCUUAGCUGAUUCUCUGUUAAAAGAAGGCAAAGUUUAACUAAAUGACCCCUGAGGACUCUUCCAACUCUCCAGUUGGUAUCUUUUGAUAGAAAGUAAUUUAAAACUGAUUAUCUUUCCUACCUCUCCACUUUUCCUUUUUUCCUGGUAUAUGGAUUCGAAUUUUGACAGUAAAACCCACUAGCUGGGAAAGUCCCUAUAUUUCUCAGUACCUGGGGAAGGGGGAGAUGAAUAAUCCUUCCCCUAUCUGCCUCACAGAGUUGUGAGCAAAGAAAGCACUUUGUAAACUUGAAAGCUCUUUUGGAAUGAGUUCUCAUUAUUAUUCCUGGGCCCAGUUCACCCAGCAAUGGGGCAUCGGGUUACAGAUCUCAAGGCUUUCUUUGCAGAGGGAAGACUAGCAAUUUUUUUUUUUGCCCUUUUCCUUAAUAUAUGCUAAUCAAAGCUGAGAGUCUGCAGAAAAUAUCUGUUUGCAAAAAGCCCCACUGCUGUUGCCUUGGCUUCCCUCUCUCUCCCAUUUCUUCUCACGUCUGCCUCUGGGUGACUAUUAAUCCAGCAAUUGGAGCUUGGGGGGAGGUAGGUAUGGGGGAAGGGAGAGGGUAAUUCUGGGUCUGUAUGCACAGAAAGUGUCAGGAUGGAAACAGUUGAAAAACACUUGGCAAAAAUAAGGGGUGAUCUAAUGUUUAAUAGUAAUAAUACAUUUUUUAAAUUGCCAUUAUUAUUCAAAUUUGGGUUUAAAAAAAAAGUUCUGCUCUCAAGACCUCCCUCUCCCAAGUGGUCUGCCAUGGCUGAUGUAUUCUGUUCACCUCCCUGUCUUAGAACCCCCACUGAGAGAGCAGAAUGCUCAGCUGGGCUGUCAUGUGUUUUGUAUGCUGCUGGAUGUGUGUGAUUGAGCCUACUGAGUCCAUAAUUUACUGAUUUGCUAGGGUCCUGGUAAGCCUCUUUUAGGAGCAAAAUACCUCCCCAUUAACCCUGUAGACACUGGCAAGUAAAUCCAUAUUUGUAGUCAGUUAAAAAACAUGCUUCUUAGCUACUCAAAAAUAACAGUGGAAUAACAGUCCAAGGACCUGUGUUCAAAUUCUGCCUCAGCCGUUUCCCUUCUUCUGUGACCUUGUAAAUAAUUUUCUUUUUUUUAAACCUUUCUUUAUUGUCAUCUGUAAAAUGAAGGGAUUGGAUUAAAUGGAUCUCUAAGGUCCCUACUAGCCCUAAAACUAAUGAUUAAAUGAAUAUUCAUAUGGCACUUUUAAGAUUUACAAAACUAUUUUCUAUGUUAUCUUAUUUGGUCCCUGCAACAAUCCCCAAAAGGCAAGUAUUACAGACAUUGUUCUCAAUUAUAUUGUGUUCAAAUUCUGACUUCCCUCAUUUUACAGAUGAGAAUACUGUUCAGAAAGAUGGUCAUUUGUCCAUGACGACAUACCUCAUAUAUGUUGGAAAUAGGAUCUGAGCCCUGUUCCUCCACUGACUCUAAAAAUCAAGGCUCUUCCCACUAUACCAAAUACGACGGGGGGGAGGGGCAAUCAACUCUAAAGCAUAAAUAUCACCAUCAAUCAAUCAUCAAGCAUUUAUUAAAUGUCUGUAGUGUGCCAGACAUUGUCAAGAUAAAAUAAACAUUCCCUAAUCUGACGGGGCUUACAUGUUGUACCAUGUACAUUUAUUUUACAUAUCUAUGGAUAUGAACAUUUAUAUAAAAUGAAUGUAAGAUAAAUCGUAGUCGUUUAAGAAGGAGGACCACCCUGACAAUUGGGGAGAAUUGGGAAAGGCUCCUAAGAGAAGUUAGUAUCUUGAAAGAAGAGAGAGAUUCUGUGAGACAGAGGUAAAGAUAGAGUAUAUUUUAAUAUAGGGAAUGGGAAGUUCAAAGAUAACCAGGCAGAAUUAUCAUCCCAUCCAUUCCUAACUCUGAAUGAUUGUCACCCAAAGGGCUUAAGUUUGGCAUUGAACAAAUUAGGGAGGGAAGUUGGGAAUGAAAGGAGCUGGCAGAGAAGUAAUUAAUAUACUGUUUUCUAAUUAAUAGGAAAAGACUUUACCAAACGCUGUGAGUGAGGAAAACACUUCAGAUCUCUGACGCACUGGUGUCCCCAGAGUCAAAUCGUAGAAGAUUCCCAGGAUGUAAGCAAUACAGCACCAG